CCUACGGGCGGCAGCAGUGGGGAAUAUUGCACAAUGGGGGAAACCCUGAUGCAGCGACGCCGCGUGAGUGAAGAAGCGCCUCGGCGCGUAAAGCUCUGUCAGCAGGAACGACGAUGACGGUACCUGAAGAAGAAGCCCCGGCUAACUACGUGCCAGCAGCCGCGGUAAUACGUAGGGGGCAAGCGUUAUCCGGAUUUACUGGGUGGAAAGGGAGCGUAGACGGCGAUGCAAGUCUGAAGUGAAAGGCGGGGGCCCAACCUCCGGACUGCUUUGGAAACUGUAUGGCUGGAGUGCAGGAGAGGUAAGUGGAAUUCCUAGUGUAGCGGUGAAAUGCGUAGAUAUUAGGAGGAACACCAGUGGCGAAGGCGGCUUACUGGACUGUAACUGACGUUGAGGCUCGAAAGCGUGGGGAACAAACAGGAUUAGAUACCCCGGUAGUC
Molecule: ribosomal RNA, 440 nt
Filed under: uncultured bacterium
Lineage: Bacteria
Description: partial 16S ribosomal RNA
Rfam family: Bacterial small subunit ribosomal RNA
Source: RNAcentral